UACGGGGGGGGCAAGCGUUGUUCGGAAUUACUGGGCGUAAAGGGCUCGUAGGCGGCCAACUAAGUCAGACGUGAAAUCCCUCGGCUUAACCGGGGAGCUGCAUCUGAUACUGGAUGGCUUGAGUUCGGGAGAGGGAUGCGGAAUUCCAGGUGUAGCGGUGAAAUGCGUAGAUAUCUGGAGGAACACCGGUGGCGAAGGCGGCAUCCUGGACCGGCACUGACGCUGAGACACGAAAGCCAGGGGAGCGAACGGG
This 253-nucleotide ribosomal RNA is filed under the name uncultured bacterium. RNAcentral's name for it is "partial 16S ribosomal RNA". It matches the Rfam family "Bacterial small subunit ribosomal RNA", at positions 524 to 776 of the family's 1533-position model. The record is from RNAcentral.